RNAcentral lists this long non-coding RNA (530 nucleotides) under Nicotiana benthamiana. Its description in RNAcentral is "long non-coding RNA (NBEN_LNC008009)". Lineage: Eukaryota; Viridiplantae; Streptophyta; Magnoliopsida; Solanales; Solanaceae. The record is from RNAcentral.
UUUUUUUUUUAUAAAUUUUUUUGUGGGUCAAGUUGCAUCUGAACCAACAUGCUAAUUUGAUUACAGAGGAUUAAUCCACAUGAGCCAUAUUGUACCAUUUACAAUGAAAUAACCAGUCAGACAACUAACAUGAAGUUGAAGGGUUCAGAGCCUGUUGUUGUUGAUUAUGUUGCUGUCGAUGUGAAAAAUAAAACGCAUCUGCAGAAGGUGAGUAGUUCCAGGAUAUGUUUGACUUUACCUGUUGUUGUUGAUUAUGUUGCUGUCGACGUGAAAAAUAAAACGCAUCUGCAGAAGGUGAGUAGUUCCAGGAUAUGUUCGAUUUUGAGAAAAGAUGUGUGCUGUUACUUUUCUGGGUUUCGGAUCCGCUUUGCUAGUGCUUCCGUGCUCUUAAUUUUCUACUUUUUCCAUCUCCAUAAAAUGAGAGGUUUAUUAGAAUAUAUAAGCUGGUAUCAUUCUUUUAUCUUUUGCUUUCUAGUUCCGAUAUAUACAUCGGCCAACUGAACGUUUUCUAUAUGAUGCUUUAUUAUCAU